RNAcentral lists this long non-coding RNA (1173 nucleotides) under Taeniopygia guttata (zebra finch). Its description in RNAcentral is "lncRNA (ENSTGUG00000021044.1)". The record is from RNAcentral. Lineage: Eukaryota; Metazoa; Chordata; Aves; Passeriformes; Estrildidae.
AUGACCGAGUCCUCUGUGUGCGAGUCCAGCCUGUGGCUGAGCGUCCCUGCCCUGCACACCCCCGUGCUGCCAACGGCUCCGGGGCCACGAGCAGGACCGGACCGGGCCGGACUGGGCCGUGACGAUGCGCAGCCCGAGGGUACGUUCCCGCCCUGUCCCACCGCUCGGUGCCCAGGCCUGCUCGGUACCCAGGGCUCGGUGCCCAGGCCCGUUCGGUGCCCAGGCCCGCUUGGUGCCCAGGGUUCAGUGCCCAGGCCCGCUCGGUACCCAGGGUUCGGUGCCCAGGGUUCGGUGCCCAGGGUUCGGUGCCCAGGCCCACCCAGUGCCUCUUGGUGCCUAGGCCCGCUCGGUGCCCAGGGUUCGGUGCCCAGGGUUCGGUGCCCUGGCCCGCUCGGUGCCGAGGGCUCAGUGCCCAUGCCCGUUCGGUGCCCACGGCCGUUUGGUGCCCAGGGUUCGGUGCCUAGGCCCGCCCGGUGCCCAGGGUUCGGUACCCAGGGUUCGGUGCCCAGGGUUCGGUGCCCAGGGUCCGGUACCCAUGGUUCAGUGCCCAGGGUUCGUGCCCAGGGCUCGGUACCCAGGGUUCGGUGCACAGGGUUCAGUACCCAGGGUUCGUGCCCAGGGCUCGGUGCCCAGGCCCGUUCGGUGCCCAGGGUUCGGUACCCAGGGCUCGGUGCCCAGGGUUCUGUGCCCAGGGCUCGGUGCCCAGGCCCACCCGGUGCCAUUCGGUACCCAGGGCUCGGUGCACAGGGUUCAGUACCCAGGGUUCGUGCCCAGGGCUCGGUGCCCAGGCCCGUUCGGUGCCCAGGUUUCGGUGCCCGGGGUUCGGUGCCCAGGCCGUUCGGUACCCAGGGCUCGGUGCCCAGGGCUCGGUACCCAGGGCUCGGUGCCCAGGGUUCGGUACCCAGGGUUCGGUGCCGAGGGUUCGGUACCCAGGGCUCGGUACCCAGGGCUCGGUGCCCAGGGUUCUGUGCCCAGAGUUCUGUGCCCGGGGUUCGGUGCCCAGGGUUCGGUGCCCGGGGAACGGUGCCCAGGGCUCGGUGCCCCCCCGCGCUCCCGGCACGAGCCGCGCCCUCCGCGGCCCACCCGGGCCGGGCUCCGGUGAAUCAGCACAGGCGGGGCCCAGGGGGGGGCGAGGGGGCGGUGCCUUGGCGCGGGGCACGACGGGAGAUGUAG